This 440-nucleotide ribosomal RNA is filed under the name uncultured bacterium. RNAcentral describes it as "partial 16S ribosomal RNA". It matches the Rfam family "Bacterial small subunit ribosomal RNA", at positions 338 to 795 of the family's 1533-position model. The record is from RNAcentral.
CCUACGGGGGGCAGCAGUGGGGAAUAUUGCACAAUGGGGGAAACCCUGAUGCAGCGACGCCGCGUGAGUGAAGAAGUAUUUCGGUACGUAAAGCUCUAUCAGCAGGGAAGAAAAUGACGGUACCUGACUAAGAAGCCCCGGCUAACUACGUGCCAGCAGCCGCGGUAAUACGUAGGGGGCAAGCGUUAUCCGGAUUUACUGGGUGUAAAGGGAGCGUAGACGGCAGCGCAAGUCUGGAGUGAAAUCCCAUGGCUUAACCAUGGAACUGCUUUGGAAACUGUGCAGCUAGAGUGCAGGAGAGGUAAGCGGAAUUCCGAGGGUAGCGGUGAAAUGCGUAGAUAUUAGGAGGAACACCAGUGGCGAAGGCGGCUUACUGGACUGUAACUGACGUUGAGGCUCGAAAGCGUGGGGAGCAAACAGGAUUAGAUACCCCUGUAGUC